GUUGAUGAGGUGUUGUCUCUCGUCUCCUGCCAGAAAGAGUGUUCCAACUUCAUCCGAGUGCUCCAGCCCUACAAACUCCACCCACCUGUAUAUCUGUGGUACAGGGGCCUUCCACCCCAUCUGUGCCUACCUGGAGAUGGGCAAACGGGCAGAGGACAACAUCUUUCGACUGGAGUCGUCCCACUGAGAACGGCCGGGGGAAAAGCCCUUACGACCCCAAGAUGCUCUCUGCGUCCAUCAUGUUAGAUGGGGAGCUGUACUCUGGCACGUCGGCAGACUUCAUGGGAAGGGACUUUGCCAUCUUCCGUACCCUGGGGGAGCAUCAUCCUAUCAGGACUGAGCAACAUGACUCUAGAUGGCUCAAUGGUACAACACAGUGAUUCUUUAUUUAUCCUUAAUUAUACAGUCGAUCACAUUAAAGCAAAGAGCUAUUUUCCAAGGGAGAAAUCAUAUAAAAGACACUUCUGAUUAAAUUGUGUUUGCAGAGGUAUAACUGUUUGAAAUGAACAAGAGGGAACCGUUGAUGAUAUGACACAGUAGGUCAAACAACCUUUAUUGGCUGAAACUAUAUGAAUCAUCCCUUUUUAUUGGUCGAUAGGAGAGGGGGCUCUUGAUAGUAUAAUAUAGAUAUGAUACACUUUAUCCGUUAAAGCGCAUCAAAGGAACCUUCUCAUUGGUCAAUUGGCGAGAGGACKCCAUUCAUUGGUUUAAAUAGCUGUCGGACAGAGCUUAGUCCUAUCUAUAAGCCGUGAGUAUCUCUGAUGAUUCCCAUUCAAAGACAGACAUAGAUAUCAGAUCCCAUUCAUAAAGUGAGUGUGUGUAUGAAUGUGUGUGGCUGCUGGUGCUGGGGAGAUUAGCCAGGGGUGGGAAGGAGAGGAGCCCUCACUCUGUCAGUCUGCCUGCAUAGCCAAGGAUUUAAUGGCUGCCGCACAAAAGGUCAAUUUAUGUUUUUUUCCCCCGCCGUCCAUUUUCUUUCCCAUGGAGUUAAUCCCCUCAGCUGUUUUCCGGCAGCGACAUCAAAUUUCAACCCCUCACCACCCCUUUACAGCCCCACCUCCCAUUCACAGAACAGUGAACCCCCCAAAACCCACUCCAUGGUGAUGAAUGCCGUGACAUAUUCAGAAAGAGCGAUUUACCCAAAAGGUAAUCUUCUCACCUUAAUCCUCYUAUUGUCUGUURGCUUCUCCAUCCAUUGGCUCCGGAUAAAUCCUCUCURGUUAUUGUAAUUUGGGGAUUACCAAAAUGGAUUCUAUUCUAUUCUCUAGACUAGWAUGAAUGGUAAGCAUGGUGUUCAUACUUCAGAGAGAAUCCUUCAUGGCUAUGUGAAUAGAUAUGCACUUCAGAAGGCUUCAGACCCGAGGUUGGCCAGACAGACUGUGGCCAAGACAUUUAUUUACACAUCCUCCCGAUCUGUUAACACUCCUAACUCGGGUUUAUAGUUAAGCCCACGACCAAUGAAGUGGCCUUUGUCCGACAUUAAAUGUAUUGAAUGGCAUGAGUGCAGCCGUCGUGGUGUUUGUGUAUGUGUGUGUGUGUGUGUGUGUGGGGGAGUUGUGUGUGUGUGUGCAUCCGUCUGCUCGCGCACUGUGCAUUUACUGAAUGGCUGUGUGUGUAUGUGCAUGUGUGUGUGUACUUGCAUAUCUGUGUUUGGGACUCGCAACCACAUGGAGACAGAAUAAAUCUGGCAGCGUAAAGGUCCCACUUUGGCCAGGGGUCUCCCUUUUCACGGCCACAUCCUGUAUUGUGUGAGUGUGUGUUAAUAUAUAGUUGUGGCCAAAUAUAUUCGCACCCUU
This is a long non-coding RNA of Salvelinus sp. IW2-2015, 1793 nucleotides long. RefSeq lists it as uncharacterized. NCBI's taxonomy places the organism in Eukaryota, Metazoa, Chordata, Actinopteri, Salmoniformes, Salmonidae. The transcript is spliced from 3 exons. The record is from RefSeq and is a predicted model, not a curated record.